This 1133-nucleotide long non-coding RNA is filed under the name Macaca fascicularis (crab-eating macaque). Its description in RNAcentral is "lncRNA (ENSMFAG00000054062.1)". Lineage: Eukaryota; Metazoa; Chordata; Mammalia; Primates; Cercopithecidae. The record is from RNAcentral.
UUUUUUUUUUUUUUUUUCUUUAAGACAGGGUCGCACUGUGUCGUCCAGGCUGGAAUGCAAUGAUGUGAUCUUGACUCACUGCAACCUCAGCCUCCUGGCUAAAGCAAUCCUCUUGCCUCAGCCUCCCGAGUAGCUGGGACUACAGGGACAUACCACCACAUCUGGCUAAUUUUUUGUACUUUUAGUAGAGGCAGAGUUUUGCCGUAUUGCCCAGGCUGGUCUCAAACUCCUGGGUUCAAGUGAUCCACCCACCUCGGCCUCCCAAAGUCUAUUUUUUUCUUUCUUUUUUUUUUUUUUUGGUGAGAACAAUUAAGAUUUACUCCCAGCAAAUUUCAAAUACACAAUGCACUAUUGUUAAUUAUAGUCACCAUUACAUCUCCCGAACUUAUUCUGCAUAUCUGGAACUUUGUACCCAUAGAUCAACCUGUUCCCAUAUCCACCACCCUCCAGCCCCUGGCAACCACCAUUCUACUCUCUGCUCCUAAGCGUCUACUUUUUUUAUAUUCCACAUAUUAGUGAGAUCGUGCAGUAUUUGUUUAAGGAGAUUUUAAAUUAUUUUUGCAAAGGAAUUUCCUGUGCAAUAUGCUAUUUGACUGCCACAACGAGGCUGUGAAUUCAGUGCAGGACAAUGUGAAUCACUCUACAGACGAGAACUGGGGCUCAUAUGGUCCUCCUGUUAGCAGCAAGACACAGGUCAAAAGGCAAGCCUCUUAGGCUCUCUUAUCUGAACUAACAGAGAACUGUAUUCCAACUAUUGGUAACCUCAUUCAGAUUAUUUUACACUCUGUAAGAAAUAACACUGAACGCUUAUUGAGCGCUUACUUUAUAAGCAUAGUAGCUCAUUUAAUCCUCGUCACAAACUGAGAAAUUGAUCCAUGUGGGUUCCUUCCAUGUCACAGAUAAGGGGAAAUUGGAGCUCAGAGAUUUAAGCCACCUGCCAGAGGUCACAUGACCCACAAAAGGUGAGCCAGCGUUCACACUCAGGUCUGCGUGACCCCACACACCAAGCUCAACACUGCCGUUAUGGAUAAACUUGCCCCCCCUCCCACACACACACACACAGUUUUGCCCAGUUACUCAGAAAACACAUUUUCUCACCUAUAUUUUGCACUUCACUUUGCCUGCCCAGCCAC